UUGUCAGUGAGGUACAUCCUUACCUGUUACUUCAUUCAUGAAGUAUCAGAACAUGAUGAAUGGUUAAGAAUGAGAUACGAUUAAUCUCAUCCGAUAUUCAGAGAAAAGCAACACUCUGAGUAUCCCAAUCUGAC
Molecule: small nucleolar RNA, 134 nt
Organism: Osmerus eperlanus (European smelt)
Lineage: Eukaryota; Metazoa; Chordata; Actinopteri; Osmeriformes; Osmeridae
Product: U8 small nucleolar RNA
Exons: 1
Source: RefSeq, a predicted model, not a curated record